GCAGAACGCGAAGAACCUUACCAGCCCUUGACAUGGACACCGCCGGGAGCAGAGACGCCCCCUUCGGUUCGGCCGGGUGUCACACAGGUGCUGCAUGGCUGUCGUCAGCUCGUGUCGUGAGAUGUUGGGUUAAGUCCCGCAACGAGCGCAACCCUCGCCCUUAGUUGCCAUCAUUGAGUUGGGCACUCUAGGGGGAACUGCCGGUGACAAGCCGGGAGGAAGGCGGGGAUGACGUCAAGUCCUCAUGGCCCGUUACGGGCUGGGCUACACACGUGCUACAAUGGCGGUGACAGUGGGCAGCGAUCCCGCGAGGGUGAGCUAACUCCCAAAAGCCGUCUCAGUUCGGAUUGCACUCUGCAACGUCGGGUGCAUGAAGGCGGAAUCGCUAGUAAUCGCGGAUCAGCACGCCGCGGUGAAUACG
RNAcentral lists this ribosomal RNA (421 nucleotides) under uncultured bacterium. RNAcentral's name for it is "bacterial SSU rRNA". It matches the Rfam family "Bacterial small subunit ribosomal RNA", at positions 954 to 1370 of the family's 1533-position model. The record is from RNAcentral.